Molecule: ribosomal RNA, 437 nt
Filed under: uncultured bacterium
Lineage: Bacteria
Description: bacterial SSU rRNA
Rfam family: Bacterial small subunit ribosomal RNA
Source: RNAcentral
GGCCGCGGGAAUUCGAUUCAGGCCUAACACAUGCAAGUCGAACGGGGUUAAGUGAAAUUUUUGGAUGGAGCUUAACUUAGUGGCGGACGGGUGAGUAACGCGUGGAUAACCUGCCUCACACUGGGGGAUAGCAGCUGGAAACGGCUGGUAAUACCGCAUAAGACCACAGCACCGCAUGGUGCAGGGGUAAAAGAUUUAUCGGUGUGAGAUGGAUCCGCGUCUGAUUAGCCAGUUGGCGGGGUAACGGCCCACCAAAGCGACGAUCAGUAGCCGGCCUGAGAGGGUGAACGGCCACAUUGGGACUGAGACACGGCCCAAACUCCUACGGGAGGCAGCAGUGGGGAAUAUUGCACAAUGGGCGCAAGCCUGAUGCAGCAACGCCGCGUGAGUGAAGAAGUAUUUCGGUAAAAGAGCUCUAUCGGCAGGGAAGAAAGGCC